GACCACUUCUGCGCCCGAGUGGUUAGAGCGUUCGCCUCGAAUGCGAGAGGUCGUGGGUUCGAACCCCGUCUGAGUCA
Molecule: non-coding RNA, 77 nt
Organism: Potamilus streckersoni
Lineage: Eukaryota; Metazoa; Mollusca; Bivalvia; Unionida; Unionidae
Source: the annotation of a GenBank genome assembly